This 443-nucleotide ribosomal RNA is filed under the name uncultured bacterium. RNAcentral's name for it is "partial 16S ribosomal RNA". It matches the Rfam family "Bacterial small subunit ribosomal RNA", at positions 338 to 795 of the family's 1533-position model. The record is from RNAcentral.
CCUACGGGUGGCAGCAGUGGGGGAUAUUGGACAAUGGGGGAAACCCUGAUCCAGCGACGCCGCGUGAGUGAAGAAGUAUUUCGGUAUGUAAAGCUCUAUCAGCAGGGAAGAAAGAAAUGACGGUACCUGAGUAAGAAGCCCCGGCUAACUACGUGCCAGCAGCCGCGGUAAUACGUAGGGGGCAAGCGUUAUCCGGAUUUACUGGGUGUAAAGGGAGCGUAGACGGCAGCGCAAGUCUGGAGUGAAAUGCCGGGGCCCAACCCCGGAACUGCUCUGGAAACUGUGAAGCUGGAGUGCAGGAGAGGUAAGCGGAAUUCCUGGUGGAGCGGUGAAAUGCGUAGAUAUCAGGAGGAACACCGGCGGCGAAGGCGGCUUACUGGACUGUAACUGACGUUGAGGCUCGAAGGCGUGGGGAGCAAACAGGAUUAGAUACCCCAGUAGUC